This 269-nucleotide long non-coding RNA is filed under the name Homo sapiens (human). RNAcentral's name for it is "non-protein coding lnc-LIFR-8:1". The record is from RNAcentral. Lineage: Eukaryota; Metazoa; Chordata; Mammalia; Primates; Hominidae.
AGGGCAAGUUCCUGAAACCUGGGAAACUGGUGGUGGUCCUGGCCAGAUGCUACUCCGACGCAAAGCUGUCAUCGUGAAGAACAUUGAUGAUGGCACGUCAGAUUGCCCCUACAGCCACCGGAUAUCCCCUUGGACAAAACUGUUAUCAAUAAAGAUGUCUUCAGAGACCCUGCUCUUAACCACAAGGCCCAAUGGGAGGCCAAGGUCAAGUUUGAAGAGAGGAACAGAUGGGCAAGAACAAGUGGUUCUUUGAGAAGCUGCAGUUUUAG